RNAcentral lists this transfer RNA (72 nucleotides) under Sillago panhwari. RNAcentral describes it as "tRNA-Cys". Lineage: Eukaryota; Metazoa; Chordata; Actinopteri; Sillaginidae. The record is from RNAcentral.
AGCCUUGAGGUGUUUGCGCGUCAGAUUGCAAAUCUGAAGGAGCAGGCUAGUCGCCUGCCGGGGCUUACCCCC